This is a non-coding RNA of Pelobates cultripes (western spadefoot toad), 271 nucleotides long. NCBI's taxonomy places the organism in Eukaryota, Metazoa, Chordata, Amphibia, Anura, Pelobatidae. The record is from the annotation of a GenBank genome assembly.
CUGCAAUAAAAUCCUGUUCAUAGCAUAUUGCCAUGCAUGCAUUCUCAUCCCUAAUGCUUCUCUGUGAGAAGCAUUGGAUUAAACAAGAUUGUGGAUGACAUCAGUAGAGAUUCUGACAUUAAUGUUGCUGGAAGCUGCAGAGGAUAAAUCUGUGCUGGAAAUUAGGCAAGUUAAAUAGUUAAUGAAACUUUUAUACAGCAAAGGUGGGACAGUGAUUACACUGAUAAAUGUCCCAAAAUAAAAAAAUGUCAGUACUAUAGUUUUCCUUUAA